GUAGUUUUUUAAUUGAAAACUGGAAUGAAAGGUUGGACGAAAUAUAAGCUGUUUCAUAAAAAUUAUAAUAAAACUUUACUUUUUAGUUAAAAGGCUAAAAUUGAAUUUAAAGACGAGAAGACCCUAUAGAAUUUUAUAAUUUUAAAAAUUUAAAUUUAUAAGAAUUUUUAGGUUUAAAUUAGUAAAAUUAUUUUGUUGGGGUGACAAUAAAAUUUAAUAAUCUUUUAUUGUAAUUUUAACAAUUAUUCAUGAUUAAUUGAUCCAUUUUUAGUGAUUUAAGAUUAAAUUACCUUAGGGAUAACAGCGUAAUUUUUUUGGAGAGUUCUUAUCAAUAAAAAAUUUUGC
This 345-nucleotide ribosomal RNA is filed under the name Tetragoneura sylvatica. RNAcentral's name for it is "partial 16S ribosomal RNA". Lineage: Eukaryota; Metazoa; Arthropoda; Insecta; Diptera; Mycetophilidae. The record is from RNAcentral.